UUGUUGGUAAGGUAAAGGCUUACCAAGGCUUCGAUCAGUAGCUGGUCUGAGAGGACGGCCAGCCACACUGGGACUGAGACACGGCCCAGACUCCUACGGGAGGCAGCAGUGGGGAAUUUUGGACAAUGGGGGAAACCCUGAUCCAGCCAUGCCGCGUGAGUGAAGAAGGCCUUCGGGUUGUAAAGCUCUUUCAGCCGGAACGAAACGGUUACGGAUAAUACCCGUGACUACUGACGGUACCGGAAGAAGAAGCACCGGCUAACUACGUGCCAGCAGCCGCGGUAAUACGUAGGGUGCGAGCGUUAAUCGGAAUUACUGGGCGUAAAGCGUGCGCAGGUGGUUUUGUAAGUCAGAUGUGAAAGCCCCGGGCUCAACCUGGGAACUGCGUUUGAAACUACAAGACUAGAGUGUGGCAGAGGGGGGUGGAAUUCCGCGUGUAGCAGUGAAAUGCGUAGAGAUGUGGAGGAACAUCGAUGGCGAAGGCAGCCCCCUGGGUUAACACUGACACUCAGGCACGAAAGCAUGGGGAGCAAACAGGAUUAGAUACCCUGGUAGUCCAUGCCCUAAACGAUGUCAACUAGUUGUCGGGCCUUUACGGGCUUGGUAACGUAGCUAACGCGUGAAGUUGACCGCCUGGGGAGUACGAUCGCAAGAUUAAAACUCAAAUGAAUUGACGGGGACCCGCACAAGCGGUGGAUUAUGUGGAUUAAUUCGAUGCAACGCGAAAAACCUUACCUACCCUUGACAUGUAUCGAAGCCCGCAGAAAAGCGGGGGUGCCCGAAAGGGAACGAUAACACAGGUGCUGCAUGGCUGUCGUCAGCUCGUGUCGUGAGAUGUUGGGUUAAGUUCCGCAACGAGCGCAACCCUUGUCAUUAAUUGCCAUCAUUUAGUUGGGCACUUUAAUGAGACUGCCGG
RNAcentral lists this ribosomal RNA (916 nucleotides) under uncultured bacterium. Its description in RNAcentral is "bacterial SSU rRNA". It matches the Rfam family "Bacterial small subunit ribosomal RNA", at positions 246 to 1155 of the family's 1533-position model. The record is from RNAcentral.